GCCUACUGCAAGCAGAACCUGGAGAUGAACGUGACGGUGCAGAACGUGCUACAGAUCCUGGAGGCGGCGGACAAGACGCAGGCCCUGGACAUGAAGCGGCACUGCCUGCACAUCAUCGUGCACCAGUUCACCAAGGUUUCCAAGCUGCCCACGCUGCGCUCGCUGAGCCAGCAGCUGCUGCUGGACAUCAUAGGCUCCCUGGCCUCCCACAUCUCAGACAAGCAGUGCGCAGAGCUGGGCGCCGACAUCUGAGGCCCUGUGGCGCCUGCCCAUUGUGAAGAAUCGCCG
This 288-nucleotide unclassified non-coding RNA is filed under the name Hevea brasiliensis (rubber tree). Lineage: Eukaryota; Viridiplantae; Streptophyta; Magnoliopsida; Malpighiales; Euphorbiaceae. The record is from RNAcentral.